RNAcentral lists this unclassified non-coding RNA (1043 nucleotides) under Tricholoma matsutake. RNAcentral's name for it is "partial miscellaneous RNA". Lineage: Eukaryota; Fungi; Basidiomycota; Agaricomycetes; Agaricales; Tricholomataceae. The record is from RNAcentral.
GGAUCCCUACUGCAUGGGGGCAGCAUGGAAUUGCAGGAAAACAGUUGAGAUCAGGGGGGCAGGGUUUCCCCUCUGAGCCUAAGACACUGCAUUUGCAUACUUACAGGGCUAGGUCUGGAAAAUCCAUGUCAACUUGACCUGAAAUGUGGUUGGCAAUGAUGUACAGUGUGUUGGCUGACUACUACCUAUGUUGUGGUUGAGUUUGUGGGGACUUGGUGGACGAAAAAUUUGGACGCGAUAUAGUGGACACCUACUUUCACGCCUCGCGGUUUCCUUGCAUAACAUGUGCAAACAAACACGCUUUCCUACCAUAUGAAGGGAAAGCCGAAAGAGCAUUCAACACAAAUCAGUCCAGGCUCGUUUGUGAUGUUUGGUUGAGUACGGCGACUACUUUUAUAAUGUUCUUUUUUGAGGUUGACCGCGGGGACUGGCUCAAUGCCUCCUCGUCCAGUAGGCCUCAAACUGUGGGAGCGCUGGCUGAUCUUGGACCGAGUUAUGGAUACACCUGUCUAGCAGGUCAAUGCUGACUUGGAAUAGGUUCUGGCCAGGCAGUUAUGGGAGUCCGUCUGACGGCGUUCCAUGGCCUAUUCAAAGCCAAGCACCUUUGGUGCUUGCGGUGAGGAAGGAUGUGCAUUACUUGCUGAUAGCUAAACCUGUUGCAAUUAAUCACUAGGGAAUCCGCUGCGGCUGGGCUUCGUCUGAACUGAUGCGGCCGGCUGUUGGUAGUUCUCUCUGAAGACCAUGAUCUUUGUUGUUUCAAUGCGACAAGGAGAAAUGUGUCUAAAAUUUGUGAGAUCGGGGAACAAGGUGGCACGACUGUUGGCCUUCAGAUCGUUACUACGCAGCAAUGACGGAACACUCUCUGAAGUUCAGAUCGUUAAUACGCAGCAAUGACGGAACACUUUCUGAAGUUUAGAUCGUUACUACGCCACAAUGGCGGAACACUUUCUGAAGGUUACUUGUCGAGUCUUUUGACCACUUAAUGAACUCCAGAACGAGAAAGCGACUCUGAUUGUCGUGAUUAUUGUCGUACGGAAAGUAGU